Molecule: long non-coding RNA, 3081 nt
Filed under: Homo sapiens (human)
Lineage: Eukaryota; Metazoa; Chordata; Mammalia; Primates; Hominidae
Description: HSALNT0331132
Source: RNAcentral
GUUUUUCUCCCGGUGCAGGAAAACAUGAAGAACGGGGAAAGUAGCUGCCGCAUGCCAAUGUGAAACUCCGAGGAGUCUAGCCAUUCUGAUCUGGCCUUCCAGGUCAUUAGGAGGCUCUGCCAUCGUGUGAGGAGGGAAAGCCUGCUGUCUGGAGAGCACACUGGUCUCCAGCGUGGGGAGAGAGAGCACUUUCGGGCUUUGCUGAGGAGGGUCUUCAGAAAAAAGAUGUGCAGCUCGGACAUGGAGGGCAGAAGGUGCUCAGGAAGGAUCUUCUGCAUGCAGGAGCCUCCUCUCUCGAAGGGUGUUCUCCAAUCAUGAGCUUAUUUGCUGUUUACAUGCCCGAGGAGGACUGACCUUAGCAGCUAUGAUGACCUCAUUUAUCACUGUGGAUAAGCACUUGGCCAGGGUCUCAGCCAGCACCCCAGGCCCAGCCUCCUGGUUUACUCAUUUCUGGGGGUGGUGGCAUCUGCCCACUGUCCUGAACUUUCCUCUGCUUGGGUAGGGACAGGGAGCCCCAGCAGCACUUGUUCCAGGAUGACCCAGCAAAUUGCAAGGUGGCAUUUGGCCUUUUCCUCAGCAAUUGCCAGACUUUGUCCCAGGGUGAGGAGGAAGCCAAUGGAAGAGCUGGGGUGAGGAGAUCAAAGACCUUUCCAGAGAUUCAGGCAGGGGCCCAAACCAAGGGCAUUUCCAGGCGGGCACUGGGACCAGCCCCAGGGACACGCCAACGCACUGCUGGGGCCAAGGGGAAAGGUUGGUUUCAAAACCACAUGUGCGGCAGCCUCACCACUGAGUCAUGCUUGUGAGGCCUGCUGGAGACCAAAGACAGGGGCUACAAGCUCAAAACCGCCUGGUUAGUGCUGACUCUAUUGAUUUCCUGGCCUUCCACUUCCAAACCUUCCUUGGAUGGCUAAACUCCUUCUGGAAGACACACCUGUUUUUUAUAUUUGCCUGGUAUACCUCACUUCUUUGAGUGACAGCACCCCAGAGAUCCCCUUCUCCACUCUCACUCUUUGUAGUUAAGGUGAGGUUGGAUUCUCUCCUCUCUGCACCCCUCAACCCCCCUACCCCCAGCACUAAGGACCCAGGCUCAGCCAAUCAGAAUAUCUCUCAUGCCCAUCAUGGGCUCUAGGAUGGGAGCAUGAUGGAAGAGUGGCCAUUGAGGAUCAGUUCCAAGACUUUUGUGAGAAAUGCGGGGGAAGAGACCCUCUCUUUUCCUAUAGGGAUUGCUCACUGUGCAAAUAUGCCAGCCUGGAACAGCUGGGGCCUCCAUGUGCACAGUGGAGAAUCAGAGAAUCAGGUCACCCCACAGGAAAGCAGGACCAUAAUGGGGUACUAGGCAGAGACCUAGCCUCCUGGCCAUGCACCUCUGAGCUGUGUGGACUGAUUCUUUUUUGCUUAAGCAUGCUUUUGUUUUCAUUUCAUUUAUUUAUUUAUUUUCAGACACAGUCUUGCUCUGUUGUCCAGGCUGGACUGCAGUGGUGUGAUUUCAAUCUCAGCUCACUGCAACCUCUGCCUCCCCGGUUCAAGUGAGUCUUCUGCCUCAGCCUCCUGAGUAGCUGAAACUACAGGCAUGUGCCACCACGCCAGGCUAAUUUUUGUAUUUUUAGUAGAGAUAGGGUUUCACCAUAUUGGCCAGGCUGGUCUUGAACUCCUGACCUUGUGAUCCACCCGCCUCAGCCUCCCAAAGUGCUGGGAUUACAGGUGUGAGCCACCGCGCCCGGUGAAGCAUGCUUUCAAGUGGGGUUUCUGUCAAUUGCAAACAGAAGAUUUCUGACUAAUAUUCCCUGGAUAAUAUUUAUUCUACCUUCCUCUCCAUUCUUACUCUCUGCCAUAGCUUAAGCCUCAUCAUCCACUUCCACAUCUCCUACCUUAGAUGAUUUUAGCAGACUACCAACUCAGAAUUACAAUGGAAUCACUGCAGUAGAUGACUAACUGCUAUUUGCAUGCAUGUUUUAUUUGUGAAUGUGACCUUACAAAUCGAUUUUCAUGUCUCACUGAUGAAGGCACCAAGCGUCAGGGAGACAAGGGACUUGUGUGCAGCCAGUACUGCCAACAAGAAGGCCCAAUCAAGAUCCUCCCACAACAAGAGCAGAUUGUGAGGUAAGAACACUUUGAUCCCUUGGGAACACAGAGCCAUGAGUGUGGCCAGACUCUCUCAAAUAUCUUAGACUUCAUGGCUAUAAGGCACAAAUUCUAGUUUUGGUUUAUCCUUUUCCUCCUGCCCUCAUCUGCCCUCCACUCAAUUUCCAAGCUCAUCUUUAAUUUUGUUGCCAUGAUCUCAUGGGCCAGGCUUGGGUGACAUGCCCAUCACUGAGCAAUCUCUCAGGUCAGGGGAUGCGCUGUCCAAUGGGGUUGUCUUGGGUCAUAUGCCCUGCCGUGCAUUUCGGUCAGUCCUAUUCAAGCCAGAUGGAUGGAAAGUGGGGAAGAUGGUUCUCCAGAAGCAAAUAAGGUGCUGUUACCAGGAAGGGUGGCCACUCCUUCUCACUCCCUUGCCUAAGACCUCAGCCACCCAAAGCAACAAUCGUCUAUUUGGUUCUAUAGCGUGGCAAGCUCUAUGCUGAGCACUGGAAGGACAAAGAGAGAUUGGGCACAGACUUCUCACUGAUCCAGGUGAUGAAGAGCUCACAUCUGAGAGGAUGUGACCAUGGAUGACCCACCAGAAUGUCAUGGGAUCCAGCUACAGCCAAGGAAGCACAGAGCACCGUGGGAGCGAUUUAUUGUGCUUGGGGAUGGGGAAGGGGACAUGGGAGGAGCCAUAUUGAGAAAGUAGCAUGGGUACUUGGCUUCACAGAGUGUGGCAGCUUUCAUCAGGAAGUGAUGGUGGGGGAACAGCGUCUCUGGCGGAGGGAAGCAGCAGGUGCAGAGGUGCAGAGGUGUGAGGAGUCUGUCACAUUCUGGGAAGGGAGUAUGGUUGGGUGACAAUGCAAGACAGAGAAAGCAAGGAGGGAAGGAGGGGCCUAGCCUGAGGAAUAAAGAAUAAUAAAAGCAGGAAAACAAUUGCUGAGAGUUUGGAUACCUUUUUCUGGCCUUUCAUCUAAGCUUUGCUAGCCAGCCAAGAGAAAGCUGGCACUUCCCCUCCCC